Molecule: non-coding RNA, 138 nt
Organism: Ornithorhynchus anatinus (platypus)
Lineage: Eukaryota; Metazoa; Chordata; Mammalia; Monotremata; Ornithorhynchidae
Source: Rfam
CCCCUCUCAGGGUCACACCUGGAGAGUUCCCAGCACUCUACCAGUCUCGACUAUAAGAGGGAGAGUCCGGCAGAGGUAUGCCCAUUCCAUUCCUAGCUUGGGCAGUGGCUAGGGAGUGGAAGACAAUUUGCUACAAGU